This 487-nucleotide ribosomal RNA is filed under the name uncultured bacterium. RNAcentral describes it as "bacterial SSU rRNA". It matches the Rfam family "Bacterial small subunit ribosomal RNA", at positions 30 to 507 of the family's 1533-position model. The record is from RNAcentral.
AUUGAACGCUGGCGGCAUGCUUUACACAUGCAAGUCGAACGGCAGCGCGGGGGCAACCCUGGCGGCGAGUGGCGAACGGGUGAGUAAUGUAUCGGAACGUAUCCUGUAAAUGGGGGAUAACCAGUCGAAAGAUUGGGUAAUACCGCAUACGCACGAGAGUGGAAAGUAGGGGAUCGCAAGACCUUACGUUAUAGGAGCGGCCGAUAUCUGAUUAGCUAGUUGGUGGGGUAAAGGCCUACCAAGGCGACGAUCAGUAGCUGGUCUGAGAGGACGACCAGCCACACUGGGACUGAGACACGGCCCAGACUCCUACGGGAGGCAGCAGUGGGGAAUUUUGGACAAUGGGCGAAAGCCUGAUCCAGCCAUGCCGCGUGCAGGAAGAAGGCCUUCGGGUUGUAAACUGCUUUAGUCUAGGAAAAAAGGGGUGCGAGGUUAAUACCCUCGUGCUUUGAUGGUACUGGAAGAAUAAGCACCGGCUAACUACGUG